RNAcentral lists this ribosomal RNA (754 nucleotides) under uncultured bacterium. Its description in RNAcentral is "partial 16S ribosomal RNA". It matches the Rfam family "Bacterial small subunit ribosomal RNA", at positions 68 to 835 of the family's 1533-position model. The record is from RNAcentral.
UCGACGGUAGGCCCUUCGGGGUACUNGNNNNNCGAACGGGUGAGUAACACGUGGGUGAUCUGCCCUGCACUUUGGGAUAAGCCUGGGAAACUGGGUCUAAUACCGAAUAUGACCAUGCGCCUCCUGGUGUGUGGUGGAAAGCUUUUGCGGUGUGGGAUGGGCCCGCGGCCUAUCAGCUUGUUGGUGGGGUAAUGGCCUACCAAGGCGACGACGGGUAGCCGGCCUGAGAGGGUGACCGGCCACACUGGGACUGAGAUACGGCCCAGACUCCUACGGGAGGCAGCAGUGGGGAAUAUUGCACAAUGGGCGCAAGCCUGAUGCAGCGACGCCGCGUGAGGGAUGACGGCCUUCGGGUUGUAAACCUCUUUCAGCACAGACGAAGCGCAAGUGACGGUAUGUGCAGAAGAAGGACCGGCCAACUACGUGCCAGCAGCCGCGGUAAUACGUAGGGUCCGAGCGUUGUCCGGAAUUACUGGGCGUAAAGAGCUCGUAGGUGGUUUGUCGCGUUGUUCGUGAAAACUCACAGCUUAACUGUGGGCGUGCGGGCGAUACGGGCAGACUUGAGUACUGCAGGGGAGACUGGAAUUCCUGGUGUAGCGGUGGAAUGCGCAGAUAUCAGGAGGAACACCGGUGGCGAAGGCGGGUCUCUGGGCAGUAACUGACGCUGAGGAGCGAAAGCGUGGGGAGNNNNNAGGAUUAGAUACCCUGGUAGUCCACGCCGUAAACGGUGGGUACUAGGUNNNNNNUUCCUUCC